RNAcentral lists this ribosomal RNA (390 nucleotides) under uncultured bacterium. Its description in RNAcentral is "bacterial SSU rRNA". It matches the Rfam family "Bacterial small subunit ribosomal RNA", at positions 28 to 417 of the family's 1533-position model. The record is from RNAcentral.
GACGAACGCUGGCGGCGUGCUUAACACAUGCAAGUCGAGCGGUAAGGCCCUUUCGGGGUACGACGAGCGGCGAACGGGUGAGUAACACGUGGGUGACCUCGCCCUCCAGCUCUGGGAUAAGCCUGGGAAACCGGGUCUAAUACUGGAUAUGACUCCAUGACGCAUGUUGUGGGGUGGAAAGCCUUGUGCGGCUGAGGAUGGGCCCGCGGCCUAUCAGCUUGUUGGUGGGGUGANGGCCUACCAAGGCGACGACGGGUAGCCGGCCUGAGAGGGCGACCGGCCACACUGGGACUGAGACACGGCCCAGACUCCUACGGGAGGCAGCAGUGGGGAAUCUUGCGCAAUGGGCGAAAGCCUGACGCAGCGACGCCGCGUGAGGGAUGACGGCCU